This 800-nucleotide ribosomal RNA is filed under the name uncultured bacterium. RNAcentral describes it as "bacterial SSU rRNA". It matches the Rfam family "Bacterial small subunit ribosomal RNA", at positions 8 to 805 of the family's 1533-position model. The record is from RNAcentral.
AGAGUUUGAUCCUGGCUCAGGAUGAACGCUAGCGGCAGGCCUAAUACAUGCAAGUCGAGGGGUAGAGUUAGAGCAAUCUGACUUGAGACCGGCGCACGGGUGCGUAACACGUAUGCAACCUACCUUUUACUGGGGUAUAGCUCAGAGAAAUCUGAAUUAAUCCCCCAUAACAACAGAUGAUGGCAUCAUUAACUGUUUAAAGCUGAGGCGGUAAAAGAUGGGCAUGCGGUGUAUUAGCUAGUUGGUGAGGUAAUGGCUCACCAAGGCUACGAUACAUAGGGGUUCUGAGAGGAUGAUCCCCCACACUGGUACUGAGACACGGACCAGACUCCUACGGGAGGCAGCAGUAGGGAAUAUUGGUCAAUGGACGCAAGUCUGAACCAGCCAUGCCGCGUGCAGGAAGACGGCCCUCUGGGUUGUAAACUGCUUUUAUAUGGGAAGAAACCUUCGGAUGCGUUCGAAGCUGACGGUACCAUAUGAAUAAGGAUCGGCUAACUUCGUGCCAGCAGCCGCGGUAAGACGAAGGAUCCAAGCGUUGUCCGGAUUUACUGGGUUUAAAGGGUGCGUAGGCGGAAAAUUAAGUCAGUGGUGAAAGCCCGCAGCUCAACUGCGGAACUGCCAUUGAAACUGAUUUUCUUGAAUACGGUUGAGGUAGAUGGAAUAUAACAUGUAGCGGUGAAAUGCUUAGAUAUGUUAUAGAACACCAAUUGCGAAGGCAGUCUACUAAGCCGUGAUUGACGCUGAGGCACGAAAGCGUGGGGAGCGAACAGGAUUAGAUACCCUGGUAGUCCACGCCCUAA